RNAcentral lists this ribosomal RNA (257 nucleotides) under Pseudoalteromonas sp. RNAcentral's name for it is "partial 16S ribosomal RNA". It matches the Rfam family "Bacterial small subunit ribosomal RNA", at positions 70 to 327 of the family's 1533-position model. Lineage: Bacteria; Pseudomonadati; Pseudomonadota; Gammaproteobacteria; Alteromonadales; Pseudoalteromonadaceae. The record is from RNAcentral.
AGAGAGUAGCUUGCUACUUUGCUGACGAGCGGCGGACGGGUGAGUAAUGCUUGGGAAUAUGCCUUUUGGUGGGGGACAACAGUUGGAAACGACUGCUAAUACCGCAUAAUGUCUACGGACCAAAGUGGGGGACCUUCGGGCCUCACGCCAAAAGAUUAGCCCAAGUGGGAUUAGCUAGUUGGUAAGGUAAUGGCUUACCAAGGCAACGAUCCCUAGCUGGUUUGAGAGGAUGAUCAGCCACACUGGGACCGAGACAC